ACGAACGCUGGCGGCGUGCUUAACCCAUGCAAGUCGCACGGAAAGGCCCUGCUUUUGUGGGGUGCUCGAGUGGCGAACGGGUGAGUAACACGUGAGUAACCUGCCCUUGACUUUGGGAUAACUUCAGGAAACUGGGGCUAAUACCGGAUAGGAGCUCCUGCUGCAUGGUGGGGGUUGGAAAGUUUCGGCGGUUGGGGAUGGACUCGCGGCUUAUCAGCUUGUUGGUGGGGUAGUGGCUUACCAAGGCUUUGACGGGUAGCCGGCCUGAGAGGGUGACCGGCCACAUUGGGACUGAGAUACGGCCCAGACUCCUACGGGAGGCAGCAGUGGGGAAUAUUGCACAAUGGGCGGAAGCCUGGUGCAGCAACGCCGCGUGCGGGAUGACGGCCUUCGGGUUGUAAACCGCUUUCGCCUGUGACGAAGCGUGAGUGACGGUAAUGGGUAAAGAAGCACCGGCUAACUACGUG
Molecule: ribosomal RNA, 467 nt
Filed under: uncultured bacterium
Lineage: Bacteria
Description: partial 16S ribosomal RNA
Rfam family: Bacterial small subunit ribosomal RNA
Source: RNAcentral